GAUGAACGCUGGCGGCGUGCCUAAUACAUGCAAGUCGAGCGAACAGACGAGGAGCUUGCUCCUCUGACGUUAGCGGCGGACGGGUGAGUAACACGUGGAUGACCUACCUAUAAGACUGGGAUAACUUCGGGAAACCGGAGCUAAUACCGGAUAAUAUAUUGAACCGCAUGGUUCAAUAGGGAAAGACGGGGGGGCGGGCACGGAGAGAUGGAUCCGCGCCGCAUUAGCUAGUUGGUAAGGUACGGCUUACCAAGGCAACGAUGCGUAGCCGACCUGAGAGGGUGAUCGGCCACACUGGAACUGAGACACGGUCCAGACUCCUACGGGAGGCAGCAGUCGGGCCUCUUCCGCCCUGGGCGCCCGCCUGCCGUCGCCCCGCCGCGUGCGUGAUGAAGGUCUUCGGAUCGUAAAACUCUGUUAUUAGGGAAGACCCCCUGUGUCCGUCCCUCUGCCCGUCUUGCCGGUCCCUCCUCCGAAGGCCCCGGCUCCCUCCGUG
Molecule: ribosomal RNA, 496 nt
Filed under: uncultured bacterium
Lineage: Bacteria
Description: partial 16S ribosomal RNA
Rfam family: Bacterial small subunit ribosomal RNA
Source: RNAcentral